This 406-nucleotide ribosomal RNA is filed under the name uncultured bacterium. RNAcentral describes it as "partial 16S ribosomal RNA". It matches the Rfam family "Bacterial small subunit ribosomal RNA", at positions 29 to 526 of the family's 1533-position model. The record is from RNAcentral.
AUUGAACGCUGGCGGCAGGCCUAACACAUGCAAGUCGAACGAGUGGCGGACGGGUGAGUAAUGUCUGGGAAACUGACUGAUGGAAGGGGAUAACUACUGGAAACGGUAGCUAAUACCGCAUACCAUCGGAGGUGCCCAGAGGGGAUUAGCGAGUAGGUGGGGGAAAGGUUCACCUAGGCGAAGAUCCCGAGCUGGUCUGAGAGGAUGACCAGUCACACUGGAACUGAGACACGGUCCAGACUCCUACGGGAGGCAGCAGUGGGGAAUAUUGCACAAUGGGCGCAAGCCUGAUGCAGCCAUGCCGCGUGUAUGAAGAAGGCCUUCGGGUUGUAAAGUACUGUCAGCGGGGAGGCGUUACCCGCAGAAGAAGCACCGGCUAACUCCGUGCCAGCAGCCGCGGUAAUUC